CCACAGUGGUAUUGCUUAGUACGGCGAGUGAAGCGGCAAAAGCUCAAAUUUGAAAUCUGGCACCUUCGGUGUCCGAGUUGUAAUUUGAAGAAGGUAACUUUGGAGUUGGCUCUUGUCUAUGUUCCUUGGAACAGGACGUCACAGAGGGUGAGAAUCCCGUGCGAUGAGAUGCCCAAUUCUAUGUAAAGUGCUUUCGAAGAGUCGAGUUGUUUGGGAAUGCAGCUCUAAGUGGGUGGUAAAUUCCAUCUAAAGCUAAAUAUUGGCGAGAGACCGAUAGCGAACAAGUACAGUGAUGGAAAGAUGAAAAGAACUUUGAAAAGAGAGUGAAAAAGUACGUGAAAUUGUUGAAAGGGAAGGGCUUGAGAUCAGACUUGGUAUUUUGCGAUCCUUUCCUUCUUGGUUGGGUUCCUCGCAGCUUACUGGGCCAGCAUCGGUUUGGAUGGUAGGAUAAUGACUAAGGAAUGUGGCUCUACUUCUGUGGAGUGUUAUACCCUUGGUUGAUACUGCCUGUCUAGACCGAGGACUGCCUCUUUUGACUACGAAGGUGGUAUCCUGUUCUUUCUCCUCCCCCCCUUAAGAAAGAUACCAAACCAAAAAGGGGGGGGGGGGGGGGUUUUUACUGAGUGGGGCGUGUAAAGCUGGAGAUGUGUAGGUGUGGUUGUGUUUGGGGGGUACUUUUUUUGCAGAGAGGUCG
RNAcentral lists this ribosomal RNA (694 nucleotides) under Debaryomyces hansenii. RNAcentral describes it as "partial large subunit ribosomal RNA". It matches the Rfam family "Eukaryotic large subunit ribosomal RNA", at positions 65 to 628 of the family's 3401-position model. The record is from RNAcentral. Lineage: Eukaryota; Fungi; Ascomycota; Pichiomycetes; Serinales; Debaryomycetaceae.